Bemisia tabaci is the source of this 566-nucleotide non-coding RNA. Lineage: Eukaryota; Metazoa; Arthropoda; Insecta; Hemiptera; Aleyrodidae. The record is from RefSeq and is a predicted model, not a curated record.
AUGUAAUUCAAGCUCAGCAUCAGGAUUCCAUCGCUACGAUCCCUGUCCCAAUCAGGGAACAGCAAACCUCCUAGAUUUUCAUUCGUAUAUCAGUCGCAACUUCAGGACGAGUUGUACCUAAAUUGUUUACUCAAGUUCGUUUGAGCGUUCUACUGGGCCGAUUUCAAUGAUUUUUGCGACAUUUGAAAGGUGAUGGUCCGUAGAUGAGCCCGCUUUAAUCAGAUUUUGGAAAUAGGACCCAGGCUUUUUUACAAUCACGUUAUAAAUUACUUCUCUUUACAUGGAGUCAAUCGCGAAUGCGGUAAAUUAAAAUAGAGAAUUAAAAAGAAUAGAAAAGUAAAAAGAAACUCUAUCCUUGAGUUAAUUCUACUUUCAUAAACACGAUUCUGUAUAGCAAAUCUCACAAUCUGACUUCAGACUGUUUCAAACAUGUUGAGCGCCUUAUGCCAUCGUGUAGGAAUUUCAAUGUUGAUUUUUGCGACGAUUUAUCACCCAAUGUUAUUGCGUUAAGGUUUUCCUUGCAUGUAAAUUUUUCUUCUCCAUCAAUAAAUCGUUUGCAAAAAGUC